This 25851-nucleotide long non-coding RNA is filed under the name Eucalyptus grandis. RNAcentral describes it as "long non-coding RNA (EGRA_LNC005529)". Lineage: Eukaryota; Viridiplantae; Streptophyta; Magnoliopsida; Myrtales; Myrtaceae. The record is from RNAcentral.
CACAUCAUCGCUUACAUUAGAAUGGAUAAUGGCAAACUUACUAAACAAUCCUGAAAAGUUAGAGAAGGCCCAAAACGAGAUCGAUUCUGUUAUUGGCCAUGAUCGUCUGGUAGAAGAAUCAGAUGUUUCGAAUCUACCUUACCUUCAUUGCGUCAUCUUAGAGACCCUUCGACUAAACACCACGGCGCCACUUCUCAUCCCGCACGCGUCAUCAGCUGAUUGCACCAUAGGUGGAUACUUUGUUCCACGCGACACUAUUGUUAUGGUGAAUGCAUGGGCUAUUCACAGAGAUCGUGAGUUGUGGGAGGACCCAUUGAGCUUCAAGCCUGAAAGGUUCGAGGGCAAUGGCAGUGAAAAACAACAAAAGCUGAUAUUGCCUUUCGGGCUAGGACGGAGGGCAUGCCCUGGUGCAGCCCUCGCUCAGUGGGUCAUGGGGUGGACAUUGAGCUUGUUGAUUCAGGGUUUUGAUUGGAAAAGAGUGAGCGAAGAAAAGAUUGACAUGACGGAAGGCCCAGGAACCACCAUGCCAAAGGUAGUACCGUUAGAAUUAAUGUGUAAAGUACGCCCUUGUAUGAAGAAACUUGUCCCUAAAGAUUAAGUUGGUCGUUUAGUUUGUGCUAACUGGUUGGUUGGCAUGCUUUCAUGUUGUAUGUAGUAAGAGUCUCGACUUUUUUGUAUUUACAUCAUUUUCCGAUCUAUUUGUUUUCAUUAUAAUAUGGAGGUUCCUAGUGUAAAGAAGAGAUAUGGUGCUGAUGGCUAGGAAUGUACUUAUUUGAACCCAGUAUUACUUUUCUUAAACAACUUUAUCAAUUAUGAAAUUAUAGGUUUAGAGUAUCUUUCUUCGUACUUUAAUUGUCUCUUGCUCUUGCAAGGUCACAUUCUGCCUUCUUGCAAUUUUAUUUCUUUUCUCUUUACACAUUUUUGCCUUUGGGCAAGUUACUCGUCUCGAAUUAUCUUUCUACAAAUUUAGCACAAGAAUAUGCCUUUUCCAAUUUUUCUUUGGAGAAUAGUCAUAGAAAGAUAAUUAGUUGCUAAAUUAGUUACACACUAAUGUUCUACAAAUAAAAUUGAGCGCCCUUAUUCAAGAGCACAAAUUUACUACAUGAUUUAGCAUAUUCAUCAAUUUUAAUGUCUUGCUUACUAGCUUAUGAUGUACAUCAGCAAGUGGCAAUAGUAUAUGCGCCCCAAGAUUCCCAGGGUGUUUUUUCGUUGUUGAAAGAGACAAGUCAUAUUUAUUCAACAAUAGUACAUAGUGAACAAUGAUGGUAGGACUCAAAACAUAAAAGGGUAAGGAGAUUGAGGGGGCUUGGAAAGCCAAUUAGAGGGAAGGUUCCGAUUUCAGUGGGUGGGCUUUGGCUACUGAAUCUGCAGCUUAAUUGGCUUCCCGUGGAUAAUGGGCUAGGGACAUGUCAUUUUAUUGGGCCAAAAGAUUGGAGCACUCCAUAAAGAGUUGCUGGAUAACCCAUGAGCUCUAGUUCACUCCUGAUAUGCCAAUAAAUACUAAAUAGGUUACCAAUUGGCAAGUAGAUGUACAGAGCUACUUGAGAGAGUUGAUUUUGUUUCUCCUUCAGAGUCAACAAUAAGGGUGUGCAAAAGAACUGAAAACUGUCCGAAUCACUUGGAACUAGACUAGAACAAUUUCCAUGGGGGUUGGUCUAGUUCCCGGUUCCAAUUUAGUGAAACCGGUGAGUACCGUUUCGAUCCCUAGUUCUAGGCGUGGAACCACUCGCCCAUGCGAGAUCGGUAUAUAUCUAUAUAAAAAAAAUUCCAUCUUAAUUAUUUAAUUUUUUUUAUAGUUUUCUACCAAUAUAUGUGUAUAUAUAUGUAUAUUUGUAGUUAUUGGAUAUUUUUGACUAAUUUUGUCUCUUGGGUAUGUAAUAGGAUUAACCCCUUACUUUUUUUUUUUAAAUUCUAAUAAUCCAUUUACUUGCUUUUUCAACCAAAACAAAAUAAGCAAACGUAAAUGAAUGAGAGAACCGAUUGGAGAUAUUCAUAAGAGCCAAAUGGUCAUUUUAAGAGUAUAAUUAGGUCUCUCCUUAGCCACUUCCAUGAUUAAAUUAGGUUAAUGUUGAAAAUAGAUGAAUCAAGCAAUUAAUAUUUUAACUUUGGUGGUAAUUAGGACUUUUAACAUGGAGUCUAAUUCUCCACAUGUUUUCAAUGUCUGAAAAUCUUAAGAGGACUACACCAUAACCUUCAAAGAAAUUAAGUUUUUAGCUAAUGAGUAUUAUCUAUUUGUUUUGCCUUAAAGUUUUCAAUCUGUAAUCAAAAUUAAUUGCUUGCAAUUUAGCCUAAAUAUAAGGUUGAAUAAGCUUUGUAGGGAUUGGAGAUCAGUUCUAUGGAUCCACUCGAGAUCCGAACAUGGACUCAUCCAAGAACCAAACUAGACUGGUGGUCCGGUUUGUAGGUAGAUCCAUGGACCAACGGAUGGGUCUUGGUUCCAAUUUUCUGAAAUCGGUCCUUAGUGGGUAGUUGCUGAUUCCAAGGUGGGAAUCGUUCACUUGGAUCAUGCUCACCCCUAGUCGACAGGCAUGCUUUACGGCAAGGGUUUUGAGUUCCAUAACUACAAUUGCUUUGUGCUUGAGUGCAAAUCCCAUAAUAAUUGUCUCGACGAACUCCCUUAAUCGAGCCCUCUAGAUUGCCAUCAAGCUGAGAGCAAUUGACAUUGAAUUUCCAGCUUCCUUUGUCACACCCCAAACCUCGAGCACGUGCCCAUCCCUCGGUGGUCGAUAAAAUUUGCGACGUCCCAGGACGCGUCGCCAAUCUAUUCAUUUUAAUGCACAUGCGGAAGUCAAUUACUAAUCCCCUAACAUCAACAACAUGAGAUAGAAAAGCAGGAAACAUAUUCACAAACAAAACAUGCUUUUAUAUAUACAUUGAGUCAACUAUAAAAGUCAACAACCAAAAACCUACAAAAGACCGGCUCUCAAAAGAAGUUAUCCCAUUUGACCUACACCUUGGAUCCCCUUAGCUCGGCUCCAGAUCCUCCACCCUAUGGUCUUGAAAAGAAUUGAGCCCAUGACGGGGUGAGAUAUAAAUCCCAGUGAGUUCACACUCUAAACUCCGAUUAGGAGGGUAAUACGCUUAGAGGCAUCCUAACCACACAACCACACAACCAUAGAGACUUACCUCAUUUCAGAUCCUCCCUGCAUGUCAGCACAAUUCAUAUCACAGACAGCCACAAAAGCAUGAGCAACAAAUAAGCUCAUCAACUGGAAUGCCACACUCAAAUUCAACCCAAUACAAAAGGUCUUGAUUUUAGGGCCAAAUUGUUAUGAUCCGUCCUAUACCGUGCCACACAAUUUUGUCCCAUAAUUCGGCACGUUCAACUCAAUUAAUCAUGCGUUCCUAGUUUUGAUCUCGACUUAUAGCACAACCUACUCGUUGUUCGGUGGUCUUCUGGCAUAGCCAGGCGUCGUCUCACCCCAUUGAGCACGGCUACGUCUUUCUUAGAUGGCUUUCUCGAAGGAGCAAAGGUCCAAAAUCUACUACAAUUGGCUUCUAUUGUCCAGGGGCAUCCCAUAUGGGGGCAACGUUUAGCUCAAUAGCUCAGGAUGGGUUCUCUUAACCAACACGUGACUAUUCAAUCUCGACCUAGGACACCGUACAUUGCACUCAAAUGCCUCAAUUAAAAUGGUGAACCUGACCUAUUUUCUUCAUAUUAAAAAUACAUGGUAAAAUAGUCGUGUGUGGGUACGGUCAACUUGACUCAGAAAAAGUGAUAUCCUCCAAUUUAAAAUCCCACCGUUUUAUAUAGAAUAUAAAAUCAUUUUCAGUGUUAAAGUCCGACACCUAAGAUUUUCUGAAUAAAUAUCAAAAAUCACAAAUUUUGGAAUAAAUGGCCAAAAUUCCAAUUAGCACUCAAUUUGCAUGAAUUAACAUCCAAUUGCAUAAACUGAACACACCAUUGCAAUCAGCACGAAAUUCUGGUCACUGGCUAUCCCGGUCUAAUUUCUAGAAAAUAUUAAAUAAUUAAAUAAUUACCAAAAUUAAUUAAAUAAUUCAAUUUAAAUACCAAAAAUACUAACUUAGGUCGGAAAUGCUUAAUUAACGCCUAAAUGGGCCGAGAAAAUUCCCGAACCUAUCUAGAUAAAUAAUACAUCCUGUCUAAUCCUUAAUUAAUAUAAUCUAACCACUUAACAUACAUAAUUGAAUAAUUAAAUCGCUAAUCUAAUCUAACUAACCACCUAAUCCCUAAUUAACUUAAACUAAACACCCUUUAAACAUAAUUAACUCUCUAAGCAGAUUUUAGCGAGUAAACUCACUGGUUUUGCAAUCGGCUGAGUCCACGGCGAUGGCGACAUGGAGAUGGGUGACAAACCUCCUAGCGGCGACACUAAACAAGGCCCAAAAGGUCUUAGAAAAGCCACAUGAAGUCUCAGUUGGGUUGAGAUCUUUAGCUUAUGCUCCUUGAAUUGAGGGGCUACUCGAGCGGCUGGUCGAGACCGAAACAGGCCAGGCAGCGACGGUGGGUUGCAGCGGGGCUAGGCGGGCAACAUCGAAGGUUGACGGCGACUAAAAUGGUGAUGGGAGGUCUCGAUGGCGGCCGAUAUGGCUUGGGAUAGCAAUUGGUCUCGAGUUGGAGGCAGGACGACAAGGACGCACGAUUGGGCUCGCGGUUGGCGUGUGGGCGCGCAAUGGGCGGUGAGGGAGCUCCAGUUGCUUCAAGCGGCUAGUCGACGGCAAAGGGGAGGGGCAGGCUCAGUUUCUCUGGUUUUCCUCAAGCUCUCAACAACACACUAAUGGAGAAAGGAGCUGCUGAAGGGAGAAGAUGGCUGCUGGUCAAGGGGGGCCACCAAAAUAUCUUGAACUUUCAAGUGACUGCCCCACCACCUUGGUUGUCUUCCUCAGCCCAUUUGUAGCAGCCAAAGCUUCAUCAACACGCCUCCAAGUGGUCCAAAUGUUGCACACCACCAAGGUCUACGAAUUUUGUGCGAUCCCCCUUCAAUUUCAUUCAAAUCCCCUUCCAAUCUCCCUCGAAUGGACUCAUUUUGAUGUCCAUAAAUCCCACCAAGAUGCCCACAUGUGAAUUCACAAUUUUCCUCACCCAUUGUCCAACUUGAAUCCUAAAAAUGUGACAAAAAAGGGUCCCUUGAAUUUUCCGGUCCAAAAUGACCUUAUUUUGAAUUUUCGCAAAAAAUCAUGGUUUGCAGAAUUUUUUUUGAAAGGUGAGUCGAGGUUCCUAAAAUGAAUUGAGACAUGACAAAACUUUCAAUUUUUGAAAUCGGGUUCAAAUUCUCGAUGAAUUUCAAUCUGGCGCGAUUUUAGCGUGACCUAACCUACCGGGUAGUUUUUAGGAAUUUUUGGUGCAAUUGACCCGUUGUCACUUAUUUUCGAGCCACAUUGUACAUCUUCGACACAUUAGUGACUCUCGAUUAUCGUGAAAAUCUUGAGAUUUCAAAUACGGACACUAGGUACAGAAAUGACAGAAAAAUCUGUCUAGUGCCAUUCGGCAGACAUUUUGCAAUUAGGUGGAAUCACCCACACACCAAUCCAUACCUCUAUCGAAUUAACCUAUCUUUAGUCUCUGAUCAAUUUUGACGGUGUUGUAAUAACUUUUGUAGAUUAGCAUGGUUGAGCAAUUGAUUCCUAAUCGAAUUCUUAAGUCUAUUGCAUUUAGAUUCCUUAACGGCUUCACUUGAUAGACUAGUUAUCUCGUGAGUAGCCAACUCAGAAAAAAAAGAAAAACUAUAGGCGUGUUGAUGAAAAGCCAUACUUAUUCAAUUGAAAACAGAACAUGAAAUUUCAGGAUUCACACCAAAUAUCAUAGUGAAUUUGAUCAAAGAGACCAUGAGAGAUAGAUUCACUAAAAUUAAAUGGCAAUGGAUGAUGUUUUUCUAAAAAAUAAGGUGGGCAAUCGAAACAUUUAUUGUCGACAAAAAUUAAAUAACCAAUAGAAAUAAAAAAUCAUCAUCUAGAGGAAGAAGCAUGAGCCAACUAAGAAUGACAAGUUUCAGAUGCUACUAUGGUAGCAUAACUACUGAAAGAGUAGGGAAUUUUGAGGUGACAAGCUCAACCAGGGGUCCCACCUUAUGGCCUAUUUCAAUGGUUGUCCCAUCUAUGGAUCGUGCACAUGAUAACCAUGACAAAAGAAGUGAAUAUUGAAACCGAGUUCACACAAUUGUCCUAUAGAAAUCAAAUUUAGUAAGAGUUUGGUAAUUAGGAAAAUAGGUAAGCAAAAAUUGGAUGUUAAACUCAUUUGUGAAUUAUCGGCUAUGUGAAUAGUAGAAGCAUGUGAAGUGAAAGAUUUAAUUGAAACAAAUUAGAAUUUGAAGGCAUAUGAUUGUAGAAGGCAGAGUUCAUGAAUAAGACUACUUGGAGUGACAAAUGUGGCAAAAGUUCUAGAGACAAAGGAGCUAGAAUUUCCAAAUUCUCAAAUAAUCUACUUGGAAAAGAAUUUAUGGUAGCAGUAGUAGCAGAUGGACUUCCACAUGGAUCUCCAAGUUUGGGUCAAUUGUACAGCCUUGUAGGUUGCGUAGGUUGUAGUCAAUAGCAAGUGGCCAUUAAAACUUCAAUUUAUCCAUGAUAUACGCUUAACUGAUUUAAACAAAGCAAAUUGAAUGGAAUGUAAAAGAAAACAAUACCUAGCAGUCGAAUGUGGAGAAACUAAGGUAACAAAUGGACUCAACACCUAGAACAAGGCAAAAACAGGUUGAACCAAUCAGAAAAGUAAUUAAAUCGGUGUGGUCAUUGCCCAUCAAUGGUGGUCAACCACAAUCAGCAUCGGUCAAAGAUGGUCAAUAAUCAACAAUCUAGGUCAACCAUCAACGAUCCAAGGCUAACAUGGGCUGUUGACGUGGUGAGUGCUGAAGUGAUGGAAGACGUGUCUUAAUGACGUGGUGGAUGACGUCAGCAAUGAUAUCAGCAGAGGCGAUUGACGUGUGGCAUGUGAGGAUGACAUCACCGAUGACGUCUCUCUACACGGCUGUACAUAGAUAAGGCAUGUGGGUGCAUGGAUCUCACGUGCAGAGACUUCUAUUGGCACGUAAAGGCACGUUUGUCAAUGGAUCCAGACACUAUCGCCGGUAUGUGACUUGUCAAAAUACAAUGAGGUUGAUGGUGGGAUUUAUUUCAUCUAUAAAAAAAAAAAAAAAACCAAAGCGUGGAAAUAUGUAUUAGAUGAGGCAAAUGGAUGCCAAGAAAAAAAAUUCAACUUAGGACCUCCUCCUCUAAUAUUAUAUGAGAUUUCGUGAUAAAACAGAAAAAAAUGUAAUAUUCUGAAUAUUGCCACGUGAAGAGUACGAGAACCUAUAAAUAGGGACAUAAUAUAAUUAUACUCGAUUACAAGUAAUUUAAACUACAAGUGACCUAAUCCCGACUAGUCAUCUCUAACAAUAUACAUUUUAUAUACAUACAUACUAGAAGUCAAAUUUCCUUGAGUAUCCUCUUUGGCUUUUGGUGGAGCGGCUUCAAUUAGGAGUUGAUCUCCUUUUCUUGUUUUCUAUCCAAAAGUCAGAAACAAUACAAGUCUAAUAUGAACUUUGCCGAUGCAUGCCGCAUUUGCGUACGCCAAAAAUCAAGAGUCAGAUUUUCACAUGUACUUUUUGAUCGGGUUUGUCUAUGGCGUUAUAUCAUCUCUGCUGUUUUUUCCUGGAUGGAUAGCAAAAAACUAAGUCUUCUAUAUAGUUUGAGACCGUGCAUGGACUUGUCCUUUUAAACUAAACUUUGUAUGGAGAACCCUUUGAGCUGAUGUAGAUACAUCAGAGCAUGAAACUUUGAAUUUGAGAAAAUUUAAGGUGGGGAAAUUUUUGUCGUCUGCCAAUCUUGACUGACCGAUCAAUAUCUUGGGUUCCUGCCUUCUCUUUAUUACUUGUUAAUAACACUUAAAUUAAUCUUUAUUCGUCAACAUUUAGGUGGCAGUUCUAUGGACUUGUUACCUUAAUUAUUCAAAUAAUUUCAAAGUUAAUGGUUGAGUUCCUUUAAUUAUGCUGACUUGCAUUUUACUUAUUCACUUUACCUCGAUGUACAUUAUCAUAUCAUGUAAACAAAGUAAAUUAAUUUAAAAGGCUACAGUAUGUUGUCUCAUUUCUUUUUAUGUAAUUCUGCGUGAGAAUUCUGAAGAUUAAAUUGUUUUUUCCAAGAUAAGCAAGGAUAAAUCAUAAUAGAGAUUCAGUAUUUAAAAAAGGCAGUUCUAUGGACUUGUUACCUUAUGUUUUCUACUCGUGAUGUGAUGAACUUGUGAACUUAUAUGUGGUAUAAAUAAAAGAAAUAGAAGUAUGUUAGUUAUAAUUGUAAGGCUUUAAUCAUUAAAAGAAUAUUCGUAAAUAUUUAUUUUUGCUUCCACACGCUAAAAGAGAUUAGUAAUAUAAAAUACAUGUGUUCAAUGAUGUUCUGAGAUGUCACAGCUUUGUUUUUGGUAUUAGAGUAGGUUAAUCUUUAGAGUGAUAAGGUGUGCUUAGUGAAUUGGGUAGUCGAUCGCGAACACAUGUGGAAUGCAUGUGUUUAUCUUGAUUGAUUGAACAAGUAACUUUGAUUACUUAUUAGUUAAAUUUGGCUGAUUGAAUAAGUAAUUUCUAUUACUUAUUAGUACCCACUAAGUUAAGCCAUAUGAUUAGGCUUUGUAAGAGAAAAUGAGCUCUGGUGAGAACUCAAAAUGAGAUCCUCGAAUGGAACAAAUCUUUCAGGCGCUAGCUAAUGUCAGAAGUUUGAUGGAGCAACAGGCACAACAACGGACUGCUUGUUUCCAAAACAAAUCAAUGAAUUUUCGAAGUGGAUUUCAAGUCUCAACCACAUUUGUUCAAGGCCUAUAAUUUAUCAAAUCGAAGGUUAUUGAACGUUAAUCGAAAAUCUAGAACAUCUCAACUCAAGAUUUCAAGGUUUAGGACCUCAAAUUUACUAGAACAAAAACUCAGUAUGACAAUCCUACAAAUUUUCAAAAAAGGCAUAUGAACAUAAUUAAUGUGUACAUCAGCCAUAAUCAGUUAUAGCACCUAUAAUCCAUGAUUUCAAGCAUAUACAAGCUCUUAAACUUUGAAUCCUAGCCUCAGUCAACUAACUUGACCUUGCUGCAUCAUAUUCAAGCGUUGGAUUAAUACCAUUGCAAUUUUCUUGAACCACGACCAAUUGAGCUUGAUCAAAACUUGAUCAAGGAUCGCCAAAGCUCGAGGACACGUCGAGAUGUGCUGAGGAUCGUCGAACAUCGCUAGAUAGCACCAUGAUAGUCACUGGUUGGCUUGAAGGAAUCACACCGGUGAUUAGGCCGAGAGGGAGAUCGGCCUUGGCGGGCUGAUCGAGUGACCUUCAAGGGACUUGGCAGCGAUGGUAAGGAUUGAUAGAUGGUGGAGGAGCUUGGCGAUGACAACACAUCAUCGAAGGAGAAUGGACUAGCAACGAUCAGCGCGACGAGAGAUAGUGAUUGAAGGAGAGUGUGCACGGGAAAGGGAGAGGGGGAGAGUAGGGGAGGAGAGAGAGAUUGAUCUUAAAAAUGGCCUCCCCGUUUUGAUUUUGGAGGGAAAAGUGGUUAUAUAAUCUAUGGCAAGACAUAGUCCUAAAGGGAUUGAUCUCCCUCGUCUAACAAACUUAUUUAACCCCUAAUUAAGCACAUGUUGAUUUGAACGAUCACGAUGCAUCUUCAGUAAAUAGUGACGAUCGAUUUUCGGGCUAAAUUUCAAAUUACGGCCUAAUUAGGGGUAUUUUCGUAAUUUUGAAAUUCUAGGGACAAUUGCAUAAUUUUGAAAGAUGAAGGUAUGGAGGUGUUGGUCAUGAGGUGAGCCACCUCGUUGUAGUUGUCGGCCACCAUGAGCCAGUUUGGAACCGGCCAUUUCCACCGAUGACUGGUCAUACUGGUUUGAUCGGUCAUCUUUUUUUGUUUUCUUUUGUACAAUUUGGUCCUUUGAAUCUUUGCUCAAUUGAAGGUCUAAAUUGGUAAAUUUUCAUAACUUCUUAUCUCAAAAUACCAAUUGGUUAAAAUUGAGUUUAAUUAAAAUAACAAGACAUUAAUUGAUUCAAUUGCCCAUAUUUGAGAUGGCCUAUCACAUUCAAACUGAAAUUAGAACAAGGGUGUGACCUUUACGUAAAAAAUAAAUAGAGGACCAAUGUCAAAAUUAGACCUCAAUCUAUCAAAUUGAACCUUAAUCUAGAAUAGGUCAACUUUUUUUUUUUUUUGGUCAAAAGGAAACAUUAUAUUCGUAUAAUCGGAAUAUUACAUCCUACCACAAGGGCAUUUGUAUACACAAGAUGCAUCAAAAGGUAGGGUGGGAAGAUAUUCAUAUUUUGGGCCAAAUUUUCUACUCGCUGGGCCUUAGCGGCCCAGUCGGCUACUACAUUGGCUUCUCUUCGACACAACUGCACUGUCAAAUUAGGGAAAAGGGACAUCGAAUCGACAACUUCGGCGAGCAAGGAAAGGAGUUCCCAUGGCGGCGAUCUCCCACCUGUGAUGGCAUCGAGAACGGUGCUACAGUCAGAUUCAAUCACAAGUCGUGCUCGAUGCAAACCUUGCCGUUGCAAACAUUGGAUCAUGAAAGAGAAGGCUUGGAACUCUGUAACCAGAGCUGAUGCGGCUGGAAAUCUACUGGUAUAGAUAUCGGUGAGUCUUCCUUGAUGAUCUCUGGAUAUUGAAGCCAUCGCUCCUUCUGUACUCCUUGGUUGAUAGGAUGCAUCAAUUUACAUUUUAAGGUGCCUGGAUUGGGUGGUCGCUAGAGGUGGGUAGGGAUCUAGUUUGCAAUAGCUUGUCUCGAAGAGGAAGGAGAAGAGAUCUGGUAAAGUUGAGUCUCUGUCAAAGCAACCUCUACUGCAAGGGAUGGAUCCAGCUAUUGAUUGCGGGAAUAUGAAGCCAUUCCGCAUUUUUCAGAUCUACCAACAAACGUUGGCUACUACUUCCAAAGAAGGUGAGUUGUUUGUCGAUACAAUUUUUAUUGCUAACCAUACGUCUAUUCGAUGGAGUUGGUGAGGCUGUAUGUCGAUGUUGAUCUGUGGAUAAGCCCAUAUUGGUUGAGUCCAUGAACAAAGUAGGACCAAAUGCUCUAAAGUUUAUAGGGUUUGCUGGUGACAUAGCUGAUAGUAGGGAUCGGUUAUGAUUUGUUGGCGAAACAAAUUUUCUCUGGAAGCUACUGCAUUUUCACAGAUUGACCAGAGAAAAGUCCUUAUUUUGGGAGCCGUUCGCAUUGACCAGAUUUUUCUCCAUAGUAUUCUAGGGUUCUGAUAAGAGGAUGAUGCCAUGUGAUUGUUGUUGUUGCUGGAGAUUGCUUUUAAAAUAUGAUAAUUGUUCUUCACUGUGUGUCAACCAUCCUUUGUUGCUAGCCAAAUUAAUUUAUCUUCUAUAUAGUGAGGUCUAACUAGGAUGGUUAGAAUCUCUUGAAUAGUUUGCUCAUCCAGAAAACGAUAGAGCAGAGAUGUGUUCCAGUUAUUAUGGAUUGGAUCUAUUAGAUCAACCACCAGUUGUGGCUCCUCUCUGGUCGCGGGUCCACCAAGAAUUCCUCUUGGUAACCAUGGAUCCUCUCGGAUUCUAAUUUCACUCACAUGCCGACGGACCAUCUAAGAUGUGGGAGAAUAGCAUCUCUACUCGUAAGAAUGCUCUGCCAAACCCAGGAUAGUCCCAGUUCCUUUGUUCGCUGACUUAAAUUCUGUAGAAUGAUAAUACAGACCCUUGAGUAGCUGACUCCAUAAAGCUUGAGGAUGUUGUAGUAAACGCCACGCUUGCUUUCCAAGCAUGGCUCUAUUAAAUUCAAUAAGAUCACGAAAUCCGAGCCUGCCUUUAUCCUUACUACCUUUGAUGAUAUCUCAUUUCUUCCAAUGUAUUCCUGCUCUAUUCAAAUCAUUUUUCCACCAAAAUCUUGCGAUACUCUUUUCUAUAGUUUUACAAAGAGACAAAGUUAGCUUGAAGACCGACAUAGCAUAAUGUGGAAUCGCCUGAAUCACAUACUUGAUAAGAAUUUCCUUACCUCCCUUUGAAAUGAACUUUUCUUUCCAUCCUUCUAGUUUGGAAUGAACUCGCGCUAGAAUCCAAGAAAACAUGUCCUUUUUGGAACAACCCCAGUCAGAUGGGAUUCCCAGAUAAUUUCCAUACCUUUGAAGCACGGGUAUUUGUAACUCUGUAGACAUAUUUUCCUGUAGUCUGAUAGGGCAAUGCCUACUGAAAAUAAGUUCGGAUUUGUUGCGAUUCAAAGCCUGCCCCGUGGCCACACAUUACUAAUUUAAAAUGUUAGCAAGGUUUUGGCAUUCCUAAAUGCUGUCGUCUAGGAAAAAGAUUGCAUCAUCAGCGAAAAACAUAUGGGAAAGGGUAGGGCACCAUCUAUUUAAUCUUAUACCUUUUAUAUGUCCCAUAUUGACUACUUGACUGAUCAAAGUUGACAAAACAUUCACUAAAAGAAUAAGUGGUGGCAAUGCAUUGCAUUACCUAUUGUACCCACAAUGGAUGGAAACCCAUUUUUAGAAGAUAGGCCCUAAGGAAAUCCUAUUCAACUCUGUCAUAUGUCUUUUGCAUGUUGGUCUUGAGAAUUGCAUUGAAUUUCCUGGUCCGCUUUCAGGUUUUAAAUUGAGGAAGAACUUUUUGAAAGAUUAAGAUAUUGUCUUGGAUCUGUCGUCCAUUGACAAAGGCAGUUUGUUCCAUAGAAAUCAGCUUAGGUAACCAAGGUUUUAGGCAAUUGGCAAUUACCUUCGAAAUGACUUUAUAUGCAAAGUUACAGAGAUUGAUUGGUAUGUACUGCUCCGUUCUCUCUAGAUGAGGAGUCUUGGGAAUCAAAGCUAUAAUAGGGCGGUUUAGAUUGGCCGGCAUCCGUCCUGUCUGAAAUUUUUUUUGAACUAGAAGAAUAAGAUCGUCUUUUAUAACCUCCCAAUGUGUUUGAUAAAAUAUUCCAUUGAAACCAUCAGGGCUCGGUGCCUUAGUAGAUCCCAGCUGAAAGGUAGCCCGACGAAUCUCCUCUGAAGUAACCACUUCCAGCAAUUGGUUGUUCAUUUCCUUGGUAACCACCUGUGGGCAUUGUUGAAUUAUGGGACUAUAAUCUCGAUGACCCAUCGCUGUAUAUAAACCUGAAAAGAAAUUGCGUGCCAUAACCUGUAAAGUAUGAGGAUCUCGAAUCCAUUGUUGGCGAUCAUCUUGAAGCAUGCUAAUUCUAUUUCUUUGCUGUCUUUGAAGAGUGGUCGCAUGAAAGAAUUUCGUGUUCUUAUCGCCCCACCUUAACCAUUAAAUUCUCGACCGCAUAACCCAGUAUUGCUCUUCUUGCUACCAAGUCCGCCUUAUUUCCUCUCUGAUCUUAGUUACUUCCUCUCUAUUAUAGUGAGCAUGCUGCUGGUUUAUGAUCUGUCGAAGAUGUUGCUGUAGAGAAGUUACUUUAAGAUCACAUUUGGAGAAUUUUAUCAGCUCCACUUAGUCAAGGCUUUAGAAACAUGCUUUAACUUUGAAAUUAGUCCAAAUCCUUGAACCCUCACUGAGUUUCAUGUUGCAGAUAUAAUUUCUCGGCAUUCUUCAUCUUCAUUCCAGAAAACUUCAAAAUUAAAAGAUUUCCUUUGUGCUUUAUAGGUUGCUAAAGAGUUGAUAAUUAAUGGGCUGUGGUCAGACCCAAUGAUGGGUAGUGCAAAGACCUCAGCUAUAGGGAAUAAUAAUUGCCAGUCCAUCGUACACAUCGCCCGAUCUAGACGUUCCUUCACCAGCUCAUGUCUCUCGUGGUUUUUCAUCCAGGUAAACUUACAGCCCUUGCUUGGUAAUUCCAUAAGGGAACAAUCAUUGAGGACAACUUGAAAGGAUAACAUUUGAUAGGGAUCUGCUUGUCUCUUUCCUAUAUUUUCCUAGGGGCAGAGUAUUUCAUUGAAAUCCCCCACACAUACCCAAGUAAUGUGUUGGCAUAGCUGAUCUCUCUAAGUUCAUCCCACAGAAUUUGUCUAUUGUGGUACACAAAAGGAGCAUGAAUACAAGUUAGAUGCAUAGUCCGAUCAUCUUGGAAAUCCGUGUAGAGCAUAUCAAAAUAAUCCUGCGUUGAGCAAAUCACAUUUAAGCUUACCUAAUUGUUUUCAAAAUAGCACCAUACCUCCUGCCAAACCUGUGGGGUUGAUUAUAUGGCAGUUAUUGAAGUGAAGGCAGCGCUGAAUCGAAGCUUCGCCUCAGUAUUCUUUGUUUCCAUAAAAAAAAAAAAAAACUAUAGUGGGCUUUUCCUUGGUCGUCAUGACCUUAAGAGCUUAAACUGUCGGGGAGUUGCCCAAUCCCUAACAGUUCCAGCAUAUCAUCUUCAUUUGUGAGUUGGUGGCUGUUGAGGGCCAGCCACCAAAGCCCAAUUUCCAGCUUCACUUGCUACAAACACAGGUGUCUCCGUGAGAUUGGAGUCGUCUAGGUUCUCUAGUAUUAAGCCUGUAGUGUUGUACGGAGUGUGUCUUUUCUAUUUUUUGGUGACACCCACUUUCGGUGUCAAUUUGGAACAUCUCAGCUUCUUAUUUAGUUGAACAUCUGUAGAUGGAGUCUGAAUACCCUUCAUUUUAGCUGCUGCAGGAAUGAGCACAGUGUGGAAGGAUGUCUCUUGCAUAAUUGCCUCCUUAGCAUGUCGCUGAUCAGGGAUCAUUACCUGGAUAGCUGCCAUAGUGAUUGGAGUGGUAAAAGUGUCUGCUGCCAUGUGUCUUGGAGGGGGCAGAAGGGGGAUAUUCUGAAUUUGUGAUGGAGGCGUUUUAGGUAUGCUUUCUUCAGUCACUCUCUAUUUUCUUAUGGUGAGUAAAAGAUGCACCAGUAAGGACUGCAUUCUUUUCCUUCAGCCCUUGUCCAUAGAUCAUUUUGUCCUAUCCUUCUAAUUUAGCGUCAUCAUAUGGAAUAUCCUUACAAUACAUAACAUAAUGUCCCAAUUUGCCACAAGAGUAACAGAAAUGGGAUAGACGCUCAUAGCAUAAAUCAAGCCAUAUAAUUUUUCCAUUUAGACGGAUGAAUUUCCCUAUUCUUAAAGGUGCUUGUAGGUUUAGCUCAACUCUAGCUCGACCAGCCCAUAAUGUAGCCCCUUCUUUGGUGUAAAUUCUAACUUCUACUACGCGUCCCAUGUCUUGCACAACUUUUGUAAUUAUUUUUUCUAUAGUCCAUUCUAAUGGUAGACCAAAAAUCUGUACCUAGAAAAGACAGGUUGAAAAAUCAUAACAGUGUAAAGGGGUAUUAGGCUGCCACAACUUAAGAAUGAUGAGGUGGCCUGAAAAAAGCGAAGGACCUCCUUCAAGGACCCUUUGUUUGUUAGUGUGUGAGUUAAAUUUUGCCACAUAUAUCCCUGUUUCUCUCUGGGAUAGAUCGACUUGUUCAAUCCGCCAAGCCCUCUUCAAAGUACUUUGGACAGAGGCGUGAAAGGAUUUGCUACUAAUGUUAGGUUGACAUUAUUCCAAUUUUUCAGGGGAAGGAUUGUCAUCUCAGGACUUCAAUCUGUUGCUCAGUAUUAAGGCGACCCAGUCUGGAACAAAGAGAAGCCAAAUGCGCAAAUUCAUCCGGUUCACUAAAAUCCAUUCCAAUGCGAAAAGUAGCAUCACACAACAGAAAACGAGGGAAAACCAUAAUCUAAACAAGAACAGUCCAAUUGCACCACAGAAUUGUCUGAAGAUAGAAGAACCUCACAGAUCAACGGAUACACAGGGGCAAGGAAACAUGCAAAGAAUGAACCAGUCGGAGAAGGUGUUUCGCUUGAUUUUUUGUCCCGCAACCAAAAUUGAAAGAUGACGGAGAUGGCCGAUCGGAAAGGCUAACUGGGGUGAAAGGUAAUUGACAACAACUGGGGUUGAGAGGGGGAAUCGAGGAAUGGAAGGAGGGUGUCGGUGGAAUUGGGGAUAGGGUUUCGGUGAAAUUUUGCUACCUAGAGGUAGAUAAAAACUCUACAUUGUCGAGAGAGAGAGUAGGAUCAUCACACUCCAGGGGAUUCCGAGAAUAUGUCAACUUGAAUUACACUAAUUAGAGCUCAUUAGCUUGAUUUUUUUUUUGGUAAGGGCAUUAGCUUGAAUUUUUCAAGUUCAAGUAAGUUUAAAUCCAUCAAAUUGGCAAGUUCUUGAGUGUGAAUUUGCCAAAAUUGACCAUGGAUUUGGAUUUAAUUCAAGAAAAUGAGUUGAAUAGAAAUGUUGAUAUGCAAAUUGUGAAGGAUCAAGUUGAACCCAUGAUUAGGGCUAAAAAUGACAGUUUGAACGCCUACAUGCCAAAUUCCAAAGCUAGCCAAACGAGUGAAUGGGUAAUGAUUUUUAGAUCAAAUAUUGCAAAAGGAACUACACUAAAAUAUGAAAAGAAUAAAAGAAAUUUUAUUUUUGAUUGAUUUUGAACCUAAAACCGAAAAUUUUGAAAAAUGAGAUUCUUAAUUGAUUUUUUGCAAAUUUUUUUAUGCUAAAGUCAAAUUGAAGCUAAAACAAAGUGAUUUGUGGAUUUUUAUAUUUAUCAAUAUAUUCGGUUAAAAAUUUAACUAAAGUCAACCAUUUAGUAGAUAUUUUCCAAAUGUUUGAUUUUAUGAUCAAAUCUUUGAUUUUUUUCCAAAACUAAUGUGGCCAAAGUGAUAUAAGGCUAAAAUAAAUCUUUUUAUGUAAAAAGUCAAUUUGUAACCUGAGAUUGACUUUUGAUCAAAGGGUUGACUAAGGGGCUGCAUGGUAACAUUCCUGUUCUUUUUUUGUUCCAGGGAACAGAAAUAUAUAAAAAAAAGUGUUUCUGUUCCGGGGAACAGUUUUUGAACAAAAGAACGUGUUUGGUAACGUUUGUUCCGGGAAUAAAAAAUGAAUAGAAACACGUUUGGUAGAUUUUAUUCUUUUUUGUUUCUUUUAAUUUUUUAAUAUUUUUAUUUUAUUUUUCAUUUCUUUUUUAUUUUUUCUUCUCUAGUGACCGGCUGACGGGGCCGGCAGCCUCGCCCAGCCACGGCGACGCUCCGACGAGGUCGCUGGCCCUCGACAGCCGGUCACCGGCCAUGGCCAUGGCCGGUGACCGGCCAAAAAAAAAAAGAAGAAGAAAAGAAGAAGAAAAGAGGAGAGAAGAAGAAGUGUUUCUUCAAAAUUGUUUCUGGAACAGGAAGUAACUUUUUUGUGUUUCUUUUUUUUGCUCCAAUUUUGUUUCGGGAACAAAAAAACGAAAAAAGAACAGAAACGCAACCAAACGCGUUUCUGUUCUUUUUUUGUUCCAUGAACAAAAAAAGAAAAAAAGUGUUCAGAAACAGAAACGAGGAACGUUUCCAUGCAGGCCCUAAAAAGUCAAUUCAAAAGUCAAUCAUUUGACUUUUGAGUUUUCGAUAAAAAUGAGUCGGAAAUUAUCUACAAAUGAUUGGCCAAAAUAAAUAAAUGAAAAAAAAGACACUUUGCUCUCGAGAAAUGGACUUUGUCAUGAUCAGAAACUCCAAUCUCGAGAUUCUUACCUUUAGCGACGUAUCAGCUAAAAAUCAAGUGUCAACGUGAUCCUUUAGUGAAAAAGUGACCGAUAAUCUAUUGGAAGAAGACUAUAUAGCAGCAACAUUAGCAGAUGGAUGUGCAUGUAAACCUUGCCUUCAAAGUUGAUUGUUUAGCCUGGUAGGUUGCUUAUAUCGUAAUUAAUAAUAAUCGGAUGCCAUAUGACCAUGUUAGUGAUAGUGCUUCCAAAUUUUCUCCAUUAUAUGCACUUUACCUUGUUAAACACAGUAGGUUGGACAAUAAAAGCCAAAAAUGAACUUAGCGUGUCGAAAUACCUUAGGGAUUGGUCAUAAAUCCCUAAAAAACCUGUCAGAAAAUGAUCAAACCAAUAAUGGAAUGAUCCAACCGAUCUGAUCUAAACUGGUCAAUGGUCUGGUUCGGUCUCAACGGUCAACAGUCAGAAGUGACAAGGUGCUGAUGUGCCAAAUGACAUGGCAUGGACAUGUCGAAUGAUUUGGCGCGGAGGUAUCGAAUGACAUGGCGUUGACAUGUCGAAUGAUGUCAACUAAGUUGAGACUGUGGCGUGUCUCUGGCAAAGCGCAUGCAUCUCACGUGCAAAAUCUUUUGGUGGCACGUGGGGGCGCAUCCGAUGGCUUUCGGUAGCGAGACUUCAUAGGCUGCUUCAUUGGCAGACGAUGAGUCAUAGGUUGGUAUUUGUUUUUUGAAAAACUCGGGGCUAGGAGUCCAAGUUACCACAAACAGUGGCGGGUUUCCAGGUCCGAAAUGCGACGGCGCGUGGUGAUGUGUGGUGGCGUUCGGUGUCGCUUGGCGACGAAAUUUCAGUAUUUCGCUCUUCCAAGGGCAACGAGUCAGAUGGUGAUGACGGUUUUUUGAAAUGAGCAACUGAAGUAUUCCAACUAACGGCUUCGGUCUUGGCAAAGAAUCGGUAGAAACAUGGCUAGUGCGGCUGGCAUCGUAGUGGCCACCGUGUAGCAAACUUGAUGGGUGCACUUCAGAUAACAAUGGCUCUAAUAUAAAGUUGAGAUUUGAGAAUGAAGAGAAAAAUAAUAUUCUGUUUACUAACUAGUGAGCAGUAGUGUCUACUUAUAUGUUUCUAUUUAAAGUAACAAAUCAGGAUUAAUCAAAGAAAAUAUAUAGAAUCACAAAAUAUCCUAAAUAUAUCUUUACCACUAUUAAUUCUACAAGAGAGUUCAGAAGAUCAUAUUGUGUCUUCAAAAUAGAUGGAAAAUCAAUCAUAGUAGAGAAAAUUCAGUAUUUGAAAAUGAUUUCACAAGCCUCACAAUUGUAUAUGAAUUUUCUUGAAACUCUACAACAUAAAAAAAAUUUCUAAAUUUUAAUCCAAUGUAUAAUGUAAUUCUUGAAAUUUUAAUUUGUUUAGUGCACUCCCUGAACUUUUAAUUUCUUAUUGUAGUCCAUAAAAUUUUAGUACAUAUUUAAAUUAGUCAAUGAAUAAUAUAAAAAUGUUUAACAUUGUCUUUCCAUCAAUUCAAAUUGAAAAUAAUAUAAAAAAAUUUCAUAUAAUUCAAGAAAUAAAUAUAAUAUAUACUAAAAGUUUAGGAAUCACAUUAAAAAAUUUAAAAUUCAAAGACAUAAUACAUAUUAAGUCAAAAUUCAAAGGUUACAUAUCAUUUUGCCCAAGUAAUAUCGUACUCCUCUCUCUCUCUCUCCUCUCUCGCUCUCUGGUGGUCCAAAGAAACAGACCGACAUGUGAAGCACCGAAACGGAAUCAAUGACGAUAUCAUCUCAUGGUACUGAGAUCGCUUUCAAUUUCUUCUGCUCAUCUCUAUAAUUGAAGCACAUGGACAAUGCGUCAUCGAAUCCGUCAACCAAUGGGAGGGGGAUUCUGACAUGAAUUUGCAGUAAAUAGGAGUCUAUUCUUAAAAAAGACUUUACCAUAGUAACAUAAAUUUACGAUGUGAUAUUAUAUUUUUGUGUUUAACCAUAAGACGCUUCGUAACGCAUUUGUCACAUUAUAGAGGCGUCCUCAUCUUAACUGGCAACUUCCUAAUGAAUUUGGAUUAUGAUUAUCGAGUUUAUUUUUUUAUUUUUAACAUCAUUUGAAAAUAUAGAAGGUGGUCUAAUUUACAAACAUCACUUAUAGCAAAUUGUCACGACCCCAACUCUAUCUCCAAGAUCCUGAGCAACACAAGUUACUUUUGUGACGUCUUAGGCUCGUCGCCAUCCCGAUUCUUUUUAUCUCGUUAUCAUGCACAUGUGAAAACGUGAAUAAACAAAUCCCUAGACAAACAAUAGCUGAAAGACUAGGACCUACAUCAAGCAGAACACACUAAUUUAUAUUAUAACGGUAUUUUUACCAGCCCCUUCUCUAUGGGCCAUCUUUUCUUUUUACAUCACAAUACAAGUUUUCCCACAUAGGCCAGAGAAAUCCUAUUUCCUCUCGCGUGAUUGCAGCUCCCAAAAACUGACGUGAGACUUCUAUGCCUACACGACUGAAAGAUGAGGGAUGAGUUUUGAGGAACUCAGUAAAUAAAAUUAAUAUUUCUCUACUAGGAAAACAUCUCAUCAUCAAAGGCUAGCAAGUACAACACUCGCAAAUAGUGUCAAUCACAGAUCAAUCACAAGUCUAUUGCCACCUCUCGACUAUUUGUAUGUGAUCCACUUUAAACUUACAAAAUAAGCUAUUUCACCAAUCAAGCUUAUCAACAGUACAUAGUAACACACCACUGGCUCAGGUGGCUCCGCUAGGUAGGCUCCAGACCUCCACGGGGAGGUCGGGAGUUCGAAGCCUCUGCAACGUAAGUUGCAGGGAGGCUGGUGGAUCAUUAGGCGAUUUAAGCGUGGCGUUGGGGUGGUGGUUUCCCUGCUAGCGUUACCAAGGGGUUUACGGCGCAUUGUCGGUGUAAGCUGGUUCCUCCUGUCACAAAAAAAAAAAAAGAGUACAUAGUAACACAUACAAUAAGUUCAUUAACCGUAUCAAUAGUUUUUCCUAUAUUUUCAGGGGCUUCUAGCUGCAGGCUAAGUAUUUGGCCUCAGGUCAAGCAUCCAAUACUCUCAAGGGCUUUUCAUACUUUUAAAGGCUUCCUGACUCAAGCAAGGCAUCCGGCCAUCAGGCCAAGCAUCCCAUACUUUGAGGGGCUUCCCAUACUUUCAUCAACUUCCUAGUUCAACUAGGGCAUCCGACCAUCAAGCCAAGCAUCCCAUACUUUCAUGAGCUUCCUAAUUCAACCAGGGCAUCCCUUUCAAUGAACGAUGCAUUACCGCCAACACUAUGUGACGAUGGGCUUCCUAGCUCAACUAGGGCAUCUGGCCAUCAAAUCGGACAUCCUAUACUUUGAAGGGCUUCUCACACUUUCAAGGGUUUCCUAACUCAACCAAGACAUCUGGUCAUCAAGCCAAGCAUCUCAUACUUUUAAGGGCUUCCCAUACUUUCAAGGUCUUCCUAAUUCAACUAGGGCAUCCCGGUCAAUGAAUGAGGCAUCGCCGCCAACCCUAUGUGACGACGAGCGUUUUUUCCCAUUUAAUUACACACACAAAUGCAUCACACAAGUCGAUUAUUUUCUUUUCUCUUAACCGACACAGGCAUGAUUCGAAGGCGUGCUCAUACAGUCGUGUGUACCAUGAGUUCUUUCACUACAAAAGUUCAGCUUCUCAAUUUAGUGACCUCCUAGUAGAACCCUCUGACCCAAAAUUUAUUAUCUCCCUCUCACUUUUGUGUGUGAGUCUCAUGUGCCACAAAUGUGUUGUGUCUUGAUUUAAAGCCUCAAAGAAUCUAGUAGAUAGGCAAAUUACUAUCGUUCCCAUGAGAAGAUAUAAUUCGCACUCUAUUUUUCACCGCAUCAUAGUAAGCACACCUUGAGAGACCUUCAAAACUCCAAAUUAAGUGGAGAUUCGUUAUUUGAACCCAUCAAGAGCACUCAACAUGAUAAAGUUCCUUCUCAACUCAAGUACAUGGAUUGCGUUUGUACACAACUCUUCCAUCCACUAUUUUUAGACUCUCUGCAAUCUUUUCUACAUCAGAUAAUUGAAACUUACGCAAAACGUUGACAUGCCCGUGUCUUAAUGCUCCACAACUCAGAAUUGUUCCUCCCUUUGAACUUCUCACUCUCUACUUUCACCCCAAAUACAAUUGCAGCAAUAAAAUUUCUCAACAGUGAUCAAAAAAGCAAAAACCCUAGAUUCACUCUAGAAAUCCUAAGCUUAGCUCUAAUACCAAUUAUUUGAAGAAAACAUAGAAUCCAGUGGCUCUUACAAAUCAAGUUAAAUGCAAAAGAAUGAAAUUACUAGAGAGAUUAAUGAUGAACGAUAAGCACACCGAAGAUUUACAUGAUUUAGUUCAAGUGUCAAUACUUAGUCCAUGGGAGAGCCAACCACCAAGAAAUACACUCUAAGCACACUGAUGAAUGUUAUUUCACAAUCUUUCAUAUGGAUCUCACUCUAAAAACUCAUAAAGAGAAAAUCUGAUACUCCUCUUGUUUGCUCUAUUGCGUCUAAUAUCAUAGUAGAUUUUUUAUUAUAUGUAUAAUAUUCCUACUUAAAUAAGAAAUCCCUUUUAGGAAACCUAUUCUAAAUAAGAAAUCUAUUCAAACUUUUGACAUAUUCUCAAUAAUGUGAACCGUCUGCUCUAAUGUAUAGCUUGGAUUAAAAUUAAAAGACCUGACAGAAAUCAUAGAACAAAAAUGAACAAAAGUUAGGGACGUAGAAGAAAGAGCAAUGCGAGGAUAAGUCCAGUCACCGUCCAUACAACAUUUUGAGCUUUGAAUAUUGAUAUUUAAAAGUAUAAGUUAAAUCCAGAACCUUCCAGGAUUGGACAUAUGUAUUAUUUGUGGACCCACGAGCACGCGGUCUUAGGAGAUAUGCAUCCGUUGAGGGUCCAGCUUUGACACGGAAACCAGAGCAUUGGGGUAUUUGAGCCACAUUUUCUUCUGGCCGUGCAUAAAUGCAUUCCUCACCACUCAUUUUUCUGGAUAAGACAUCCAGUACCCCUAAAGCACGUGAAGAAAAUUUGCUUUUCUGUGAAAAGGGAAUGAGAUAGAUCUUUUAACUUUCGCUAUAGCCUCUAACAUCACCGCAAGAAUUUUACUACCACGUCUAAACAGUACCACGAAAGUACAAAAGUUCUGCGGCAACACAUUAUGUUUGUUUUGACUCAUAACUCUUGUUUAUUUUUCGGUGAGUCUAUCACCAUUGCACCACUGUAUCGCAAGUAGUAAUAGAGCUUAUAUAUUCAUAAUCUAGUAGAACCCGAAUUAAAGACACAGACGAUUGAAGGUUUUUCGGGACCGAGAACUGCGAAGCUAUCGAAUCGGUAAUGAAAGGGGCUUGAAAUGAUAUGUGAAGGGAAUUUCUGAUUCCCAAAAACCGGAUUUGACAUUAAAUCGAACCCCUAAACUUGUGCAGAAGACGAGCCCGGGAAAGCACAUGCAUCACCGAUCCUAAGGCACAUCACAAAAUCGAACGUACUUUGUUAGCCACAGAUUAAACACCGACACCGAUAUGAGAAAGAGAAUUUGGUUCUGUUCGAUCCGAUGACACCAAUUCGCCUUGAAGGGAAGAUAGUGUUGUCUCUUUUGUUUUUGUUCUUUCUUUUGGAGGGAGAGAGGGAGGAGGAACGUACGUUGCUUCAAAAGGUGCGUUCCUCCCUCUUUAUUUCCCUCUUAUAUACGUUUCCUCAAAAAAGAAACGUGUCCUUUCAUCAUAUUCCUCUAUCCAUGGGCUAUAAUAUUAUGGGCCAAGCUUUUAGGCCCAACAUGGGCAGACGAGCCGACUUAGGCCCGUCACAUUAAUAAUUAAAACCAUAAAUAUGAAAAUUUAUCCUUCAUCAAUUAGCCAACCAAAGGAAGGUGUAAACGUGUAAUAGUCAAUGAAAACAAUCUUACGUAAUUGAUGAGUUCAUUUUUUAAAGUGAAAAUAUCCAAAUACUCCAAUAGAUUACGCCGACAAGUUUUCCCUCGAGGCUUCUAGGAACCAGAUCUGAACUCUCUGAUCUCUAUAUAUACUAACACCCACAUGCGAACGGUCUCGAUCGGCAAUUCGUAACACGAAGCAAAGAAAAUUCGAUGGAAAACACAGUUCAGUAUGCGAUCCUCCUCACUGUCCUCUCUCUAGUUAUUCUCUACUUCUUCCUAACAAGAGAACCCAAGAACCUCCCUCCAUCCCCUCCUUCUCUCCCUAUCAUUGGCCACCUCCACCACUUGAAGUUGCCCCUUCACAGGACCCUUCUCAGCCUCUCCACUAAGUAUGGCCCCAUCAUGACCCUUCGGUUCGGGGUCCGCCGGUUCGUGGUCGUGUCAUCACUGCCGCUGGCCGAGGAAUGCUUCACCAAGAAUGACGUCGUGCUUGCCAACCGCCCGAAGCUGUUCAUUGGCAAGUACCUCGGCUAUGACUACACCACCCUCAUCUUGUCGUCCUAUGGCGACCAUUGGCGUAACCUCCGGAAGAUCGCCACCAUCGAGGUUCUCUCGUCGCACCGCAUCAAUUUACUCUCCCAUGUCCGGAGGGACGAGAUCCGGCGGCUGAUGCUCCGUCUGGCCCAGGGCAGGUUCCAGUCCCACCACAGGGUCGAGCUCAAAACUCUAUUCUCAGAGCUGACGUUCAACAUCAUGAUGAGGAUGAUUGCAGGGAAACGGUACUACGGCGAGGGCUUGACCAUCGACGAGGCUGAGGCAAGGGAGGCGAGGAAGCUGAUUAAACAGAUUGUUGGGAGUGGCGGGACAAGUUACGUUGGCGAUUUCCUGCCCAUACUAAAGUUGGUCGAUUACAAUGGGGUCAAGAAGUGGGUGGUUGAGCUGAAAGAGAAGAUCGAUGCGUUCAUUCAGGGCUUGAUCAACGAGCACCGGAGGAAGAAGGGCGACCCAGAGCUCGCAGACAGCAUGAUCAGUCAUCUUCUGCAUCUACAAGAAUCUCAGCCGGAAGACUACUCGGACUCCAUGAUCAAAGGGCUUGUCCUUGUAAGUGUUGUUUCUUAUUUCUACAUCUGCCUUUUUAUUUUUAUUUUCACUGGACAAAUCCUGCGCCCCCGCCCCCGCGGCCCGCCUCCCUCGUGAGAAUUCUCGCGGCAAAGUUGCCGUGUCUUGCCAGUCGUCCAUUCUUGUUAACUUGAUAUAUGUCGUCGGUGGUUGCAUUAAAAUGUUGUCAAUGACAACGGUUAAAUUGAGUUGGGCAACUUAGACAUGCUCAAAGUCACGGCAGCCUAGAAUUGACCGCUUUAUAUUGCUUUUGUGUCGAAGAUUUAGAAUGCACUUCCACCACAAAUGAUGAUAAUACUUGCAAUGAUGGUGAAAAAUCUUAGGUUUCGUUUUUCAAUAAACAGAAAUACGUCGCUCUCUCUCUCAAAUUUAUUUAAAUUUUGAGUAGUACUAUUUUACUGAAUAAAUGUGUAACAGCAGUUGCCAUCAUUAUUGUCGUUUUUUCGCACAUGUAUUGUCAAUUUUCCUCAAGACUGAAUUUCGAUUGGGCGGAUGUUUGUGGUGCUGGGCAAUUAACUCUCACCCCUCCACUUGGAGCAAUCCCUUUCUGUGCUCUUCGUAGAAGAUAAUGAUGUUUCACAUAGAUUUAGAUGAAGGGUCCUAGUUUUUCUGAUUUUGGGAGUUCAUAAAAGGAGCGGAUUUGGAUGUGGAUUUUUGGGAUUGGCUUACCCACGAAUCUGCUCAACCAGACUUUGCCUGAAUUAAUUGACCCCAAAAACAACACUUUCCUUUUUGGUCGUUUGGGUUCGUAAAUUGAAGGGGUCAGUUAUCAAAUGGAGCAAAGGAAAAAGGAGAGACUAAUAAUGUAUGGAAGGCAAAAAAAAAUGGUAGUAAUGAUUGAUUGAGUAGAGUUGACUUGGUUGCAAUUUUUCAAAUAGGAUCUGACUUUACUUUUUGAAAGAUUAGGACUUGAUUGCAUAUUAUGCACAGCGUUUAGGACUAUUGGUGCAAAUGCCAAUCUAUAUAUCAAGUUGGAACAGCUUAUUAAGACUUCAAAGUCUGCAAUAAGAGAGUCCAAUUACUAAUUGAGAUUUACUUUUUGUAAAAUGUUAGCACUCUUUCUUUUUAGAUUUUCUCCAUGAAAUCGUAUACGUUUAUGCACCUUCACGACCAUAUACCAAUUAUACCUAGUGAUUAUCUUACCAAGGUGUGAUUAGUUAAGACAUCAAAAGAUCCCUAAUCGAACGGCGUUGAGAAAAGUAGUCUAAUGAUUGGCAGAAGCUGAUUUGUAGGAAAGAAAUUUUCAUUACUGGGGGGCCUAUGGUAAAGAAACUGACUUAUUUUGUUUUAUUCAUCAUUUGAAGUCUUAUUAUCUCGACUUUUGCAGUUGAUUUGCACAAUAACUUUUUAUACAUGUACAGGUUUUGUUAGUUGCGGGAACAGACACAUCAUCGCUUACAUUAGAAUGGAUAAUGACAAACUUACUAAACAAUCCUGAAAAGUUAGAGAAGGCCCGAAACGAGAUUGAUUCUGUUAUUGGCCACGAUCGUCUGGUAGAAGAAUCGGAUGUUUCGAAUCUACCUUACCUUCAGUGCAUCAUCUUAGAGACCCUUCGACUAAACACCACGGUGCCACUUCUCGUCCCGCACGCAUCAUCAGCUGAUUGCACCAUUGGUGGAUACUUUGUUCCACGCGACACUAUUGUACUGGUGAAUGCAUGGGCUAUUCACAG